Bufo gargarizans (Asiatic toad) is the source of this 236-nucleotide long non-coding RNA. RefSeq lists it as uncharacterized. The transcript is spliced from 3 exons. NCBI's taxonomy places the organism in Eukaryota, Metazoa, Chordata, Amphibia, Anura, Bufonidae. The record is from RefSeq and is a predicted model, not a curated record.
CGUCAUCGCAGGUCCUGCAGCCCCAGGAGGUGAGAUCUGCAGGUAUCUUAGAUACAGGACUUUCUUCUUUUUAAAGACAAUGGUCCUUUCCAUCAAUGACCCACCAAGGAUGGAGAAGUACAGAGACCACAUGGCUGCAAGGAUAUUGGACCUCACCCUGGAGAUCAUCUCCUUGAUAACUGGAGAGGAUUACACAGUAGUGAAGAAGUCGUCUGGUGAGUGUGUGACACCCCGUG